CAGAGUUUAUCCUGGCUCAGGAUGAACGCUAGCUACAGGCUUAACACAUGCAAGUCGAGGGGCAGCAUGGUCUUAGCUUGCUAAGGCCGAUGGCGACCGGCGCACGGGUGAGUAACACGUAUCCAACCUGCCGUCUACUCUUGGACAGCCUUCUGAAAGGAAGAUUAAUACAAGAUGGCAUCAUGAGUCCACAUGUUCACAUGAUUAAAGGUAUUCCGGUAGACGAUGGGGAUGCG
This 236-nucleotide ribosomal RNA is filed under the name uncultured bacterium. Its description in RNAcentral is "partial 16S ribosomal RNA". It matches the Rfam family "Bacterial small subunit ribosomal RNA", at positions 8 to 235 of the family's 1533-position model. The record is from RNAcentral.